Molecule: long non-coding RNA, 822 nt
Filed under: Homo sapiens (human)
Lineage: Eukaryota; Metazoa; Chordata; Mammalia; Primates; Hominidae
Description: non-protein coding LINC00847:15
Source: RNAcentral
GUGAGCUUCCCCGCCAGGAACUUACUGGGGCUGCAUCACCCUAGAAACGUGGCUUUGGGCUGUGGAAACGCUGCCUCUGUGGAAGUCUCUCCUCGCGGGGGUGGACGGGUCGCUGCGCGCCCAGCGUUCUUCUGCGGUUCUCACAGCCCGCCGCCGCCGCCGCCUCGGGGACCUUUGCGGGGAGGCCUCAGGGCACCUUCCUCCUCUCUCUCAGGCACGUCCUCGACCUCAGUUGCCACGUGCACAUGCUGGUGCCUUCCAGGCUGGAGUAUAGUGGCAUGAUCAUAGAUCACUGCAGCCUCAAACUCCUGGGCUCAAGCGAUCCUCCCACCUCAGCCUCCAUAUAGCUGGUGGGGACCAAGUUUCUAACACAUGAAUGUUGGGAGACACAUUCAGACCAUCGCAGUGGCCUUAUAAAAAGAGACACAAGAGCUUGCUCUCUGCCAUGUGAGAAUACCACAAGAAGACUGUCCUCAGCAAAUCAGAAAGCGGGUGGACCCUCAUCAGACACCAGAUGUGCCUGCACCUUGAUCUUGGACUUGCCAGCCUUCAGAACAGUAAGAAAGAAAUGUGUGUUGUUUAAGCCACCCAGUCUAUGGUAACUUGCUAUAGCAGCCCACUAGGAGACCCCAAGAUAUUUAAAAACUCAUCAGCACCUGCUUUCUGCAUCUGGACCCUGAUCUUCUGGUGGGUUUACCAGUUACUUGUAGAGUGUCCCUGUGAUAGUUUUAGGUGUCAACUUGACAGGAUUGAGGGAUGCCUAGAUGGCUGGGGAAGCACUGUUUCUGAGAAGGACCAUGUUUUUGGAGGAGACUGUUUUAU